Molecule: ribosomal RNA, 253 nt
Filed under: uncultured bacterium
Lineage: Bacteria
Description: partial 16S ribosomal RNA
Rfam family: Bacterial small subunit ribosomal RNA
Source: RNAcentral
UACGUAGGGCGCAAGCGUUGUCCGGAAUUAUUGGGCGUAAAGAGCUCGUAGGCGGUCUGUCGCGUCUGCCGUGAAAACCCAUGGCUUAACUGUGGGCUUGCGGUGGAUACGGGCGGACUUGAGGUAGGUAGGGGAGAAUGGAAUUCCCGGUGUAGCGGUGAAAUGCGCAGAUAUCGGGAGGAACACCGGUGGCGAAGGCGGUUCUCUGGGCCUGACCUGACGCUGAGGAGCGAAAGCGUGGGGAGCGAACAGG